UUACGGCAACAUCAGUUUGAAACACCUGUUCCUAUGCGAGGACCAAAGUUAAGCAAUUCGAGUCUGGUCAGUACCUUGAUGGGUGACCGCUUGGAAAUACCAGGUAUUGUAA
Acanthosepion pharaonis is the source of this 112-nucleotide non-coding RNA. The record is from the annotation of a GenBank genome assembly. Lineage: Eukaryota; Metazoa; Mollusca; Cephalopoda; Sepiida; Sepiidae.